AGUGAACGCUGGCGGUGGGCCUAACACAUGCAAGUCGAACGGCAGCACAGUAAGAGCUUGCUCUUACGGGUGGCGAGUGGCGGACGGGUGAGGAAUACAUCGGAAUCUACUUUUUCGUGGGGGAUAACGUAGGGAAACUUACGCUAAUACCGCAUACGACCUACGGGUGAAAGCAGGGGAUCUUCGGACCUUGCGCGAUUGAAUGAGCCGAUGUCGGAUUAGCUAGUUGGCGGGGUAAAGGCCCACCAAGGCGACGAUCCGUAGCUGGUCUGAGAGGAUGAUCAGCCACACUGGAACUGAGACACGGUCCAGACUCCUACGGGAGGCAGCAGUGGGGAAUAUUGGACAAUGGGCGCAAGCCUGAUCCAGCCAUACCGCGUGGGUGAAGAAGGCCUUCGGGUUGUAAAGCCCUUUUGUUGGGAAAGAAAAGCGGCAGGUUAAUACCCCGCUGUUCUGACGGUACCCAAAGAAUAAGCACCGGCUAACUUCGUG
Molecule: ribosomal RNA, 492 nt
Filed under: uncultured bacterium
Lineage: Bacteria
Description: partial 16S ribosomal RNA
Rfam family: Bacterial small subunit ribosomal RNA
Source: RNAcentral